UCGUUUUUGUAAAUCGUAGUCACAUUGUAUUGAUUCGCUCCCUCGUUUUAGUAAAUAAUGGACACAUUGUACUGAUUCAUUCCCUCGUUUUAGUAAAUCGUGGUAAUGUUGUACUGAUUCAUUCCCUCGUUUUAGUAAAUCAUAGUCACAUUGUACUGAUUUGUUCCCUUGUUUUUGUAAAUCAUAGUCACAUUGUACUGAUUUGUUCCAACAUUUUAGUAAAUCAUGGUCACAUUGUACUUAUUAGUUUCCUCGUUUUAGUAAAUCGUAGUCACAUUGUACUGAUUUGCUCCCUCGUUUUAGUAAAUAGUGGCAAUGUUGUACUGAUUCGUUCCCUCAUUUUUGUAAAUUGUAAUCACAUUGUACUGAUUAAUUCCCUCAUUUUAGUAAAUCAUGGCCACACUGUACUGAUUCAUUCCCUCGUUUUUGUAAAUCGUAGUCAGAUUGUAUUGAUUCGUUCUCUCCUUUUAGUAAGUUGUAGUCACGUUGUACUGAUUCAUUCCCUCAUUUUAGUAAAUCAUGGACACGUUGUACUGAUUCAUUCCCUCAUUUUAGUAAAUCGUGGCCAUGUUGUAUUGAUUUGUUCUCUCAUUUUUGUAAAUCGUAGUCACAUUGUACUGAUUUGUUCCAACAUUUUAGUAAAUCAUGGUCACAUUGUACUUAUUAGUUUCCUCGUUUUAGUAAAUUGUGGACACGUUGUACUGAUUCAUUCCCUCUUUUUAGUAAAUCAUAGUUACGUUGUACCGUUUUGCUCCCUCGUUUUAGUAAAUCGUGGCAAUGUUGUACUGAUUCAUUCCCUCGUUUUUGUAAAUUGUAGUCACAUUGUACUGAUUCGUUCCCUUGUUUUUGUAAAUCAUAGUCACAUGGUACUGAUUCAUACCCUUGUUUUUAGUAAACUGUGGCCAAGUUGUACUGAUUUGUUCCAACAUUUUAGUAAAUCAUGGUCACAUUGUACUGAUUAGUUUCCUUGUUUUAGUAAAUCCUGGACAUGUUGUAAAACUUCAUCCCAUUGGUUUAGUAAUUAGUGGCCAUGUUGUACUGAUUCGUUCCCUUGCUUAGUCACAUUGUGGCCAUGCUGUACAAAUUCAUUCUCUAAUUUUACUUUAGUUAUAUGAUUUAAUUCACUAAAACCAGGAAACAAAUUAGUUCACUGUAAAAGAUGCAACUGCGCAUUUUCCAGUUUACGAAAUCU
Molecule: long non-coding RNA, 1192 nt
Filed under: Sinocyclocheilus grahami
Lineage: Eukaryota; Metazoa; Chordata; Actinopteri; Cypriniformes; Cyprinidae
Description: lncRNA (ENSSGRG00000006995.1)
Source: RNAcentral